AUCCAACAUAAAUCUGUAUAGAGCUAGGCAGACCGGCUCUAGUCUUAAUGAUGGAUACAGGUUUUCAAAAUCAAAAACCGCCAUUACGUCGUCAGGUUGCCAGGUAAUACUUCUCAAUGUUUGUAGGGCUUCAUUCGUCACUGUGGUGGAAUAGUUGGUUUGUCCUAAUAUUCUGGUACACCACUUUCCUAUAGCCUGUUCAAGUUGAUAGGUGGGGCUGCCCAUUUUUCCAUGAUGGGCCUCGGCUCUACUAGUUGCUUAUGGGUCUUGACAUAAGCGAACAGGCACGGGCUUACUGGUGCUAAGUUCUUACUAUGCUUCCAUUCUAGGGGGAAGAAUUUAUGAUUCACUAUCCUAUCUACUUGGGCUUUCAGCUAGAUAGUUGGGUCUCUGUCUAACAGCUUAGGAGUAGUAUCCUUUAUGUAAUCAUACAAGUAUUGAUCAUAUCUACUCAUUUCCAUUAGCACCAUUUUUUUAAUUUUGUCUUCUCUAGUGAUGACAUAGUCUUUCUCUUUAAGCCAUUUUAUUGUUUUUUUAAGAAGCCUGUUCAUCUCCAUGUGCUUGGCUAGUGUGUUGCUAUUCUUGGUGCUGCUCUUUUCCCUAACAUACUCCCAUCUUAGUCGCUGCCUUUCGUUCUCGUUGUUGCUGCACGUGCCUACUGUGUCUUCUAUGUACGGUGAUUCUUCCACCAGUGUUAGCUCUUUAUAUAGUUCGCAUGAGGGCCCCUUCGUGAAUAGCUGUUAGGCGUAAUCCAGGAUGGUUAUACCUCCUAUUACUUUGAUGGCAUCUCGUAGCCUUAUCGUUGUCUUUCUGGGUGUAAUGUUCUUUCACUUAAAUAUCCAUUUUAUUUUCCUUAUAUACUUCUUUUGUAGCCUCGCUAAAACAGCAUUCUCUCUCUCCUAUAUUGUUAUAAGAUGUUGUUCAUGCCCUGGUUUUCGUGUCACUUGCACUUCAAGGUCCUUUUCAUUUUUGUACAUUUUAUAGUAUUUCCUUUUAGCAUCUGUUAUUGCUGCUUGGAGACGUAUCUUCUUUGUGUUCCAAAGAAUCCUCUUAGAUUUCACCAUAUAGCCUGAUUUUUCAAUAUAG
RNAcentral lists this long non-coding RNA (1086 nucleotides) under Androctonus crassicauda. Lineage: Eukaryota; Metazoa; Arthropoda; Arachnida; Scorpiones; Buthidae. The record is from RNAcentral.